GUCGCUACUACCGAUUGAGUGCAUUAGUGAGGACCUCGGAUUGAGAUCAUUGUGUCGCAAGGCACUAUGUUUUCGAAAAGUGGUUCAAAUUUGUGCAUUUAGAGAUAGUAA
RNAcentral lists this ribosomal RNA (111 nucleotides) under uncultured eukaryote. Its description in RNAcentral is "partial small subunit ribosomal RNA". It matches the Rfam family "Eukaryotic small subunit ribosomal RNA", at positions 1675 to 1785 of the family's 1831-position model. The record is from RNAcentral.